UGGGGAAUUUUGGACAAUGGGCGCAAGCCUGAUCCAGCAAUGCCGCGUGCAGGAUGAAGGCCUUCGGGUUGUAAACUGCUUUUGUACGGAACGAAACGGCUCUGGUUAAUACCUGGGGCUAAUGACGGUACCGUAAGAAUAAGCACCGGCUAACUACGUGCCAGCAGCCGCGGUAAUACGUAGGGUGCGAGCGUUAAUCGGAAUUACUGGGCGUAAAGCGUGCGCAGGCGGUGAUGUAAGACAGAUGUGAAAUCCCCGGGCUCAACCUGGGACCUGCAUUUGUGACUGCAUCGCUGGAGUGCGGCAGAGGGGGAUGGAAUUCCACGUGUAGCAGUGAAAUGCGUAGAUAUGCGGAGGAACACCGAUGGCGAAGGCAAUCCCCUGGGCCUGCACUGACGCUCAUGCACGAAAGCGUGGGGAGCAAACA
This 427-nucleotide ribosomal RNA is filed under the name uncultured bacterium. RNAcentral's name for it is "bacterial SSU rRNA". It matches the Rfam family "Bacterial small subunit ribosomal RNA", at positions 355 to 774 of the family's 1533-position model. The record is from RNAcentral.